RNAcentral lists this transfer RNA (75 nucleotides) under Runella sp. SP2. Its description in RNAcentral is "tRNA-Met". It matches the Rfam family "tRNA". Rfam says of the family: Transfer RNA (tRNA) molecules are approximately 80 nucleotides in length. Their secondary structure includes four short double-helical elements and three loops (D, anti-codon, and T loops). Further hydrogen bonds mediate the characteristic L-shaped molecular structure. tRNAs have two regions of fundamental functional importance: the anti-codon, which is responsible for specific mRNA codon recognition, and the 3' end, to which the tRNAs corresponding amino acid is attached (by aminoacyl-tRNA synthetases). tRNAs cope with the degeneracy of the genetic code in two manners: having more than one tRNA (with a specific anti-codon) for a particular amino acid; and 'wobble' base-pairing, i.e. permitting non-standard base-pairing at the 3rd anti-codon position. The record is from RNAcentral. Lineage: Bacteria; Pseudomonadati; Bacteroidota; Cytophagia; Cytophagales; Spirosomataceae.
AGUGGUGUAGGGAAGAUGGUCAUCCCGCAGGCUCAUUACCUGAGAGCACUGGUUCGAGUCCAGUCACCACUACGA